ACUCAAAUGAAUUGACGGGGGCCCGCACAAGCGGUGGAGCAUGUGGUUUAAUUCGACGCAACGCGAAGAACCUUACCUGGGCUUGAACUGCAGUGGACCGGUCUAGAGAUAGGCCUUUUCGCAAGAACUGCUGCAGAGGUGCUGCAUGGCUGUCGUCAGCUCGUGUCGUGAGAUGUUGGGUUAAGUCCCGCAACGAGCGCAACCCUUACUGUUAGUUGCCAGCGCGUCAUGGCGGGAACUCUAGCAGGACUGCCCGGGUUAACCGGGAGGAAGGCGGGGAUGAUGUCAAGUCCUCAUGGCCCUUAUGUCCAGGGCUACACACGUGCUACAAUGGCAGAUACAAACCGUUGCAAAGCCGCGAGGUGGAGCUAAUCGGAGAAAGUCUGCCUCAGUUCGGAUUGCAGUCUGCAACUCGACUGCAUGAAGGUGGAAUCGCUAGUAAUCGUGUAUCAGAAUGAUACGGUGAAUACGUUCCCGGGCCUUGUACACACCGCCCGU
This 498-nucleotide ribosomal RNA is filed under the name uncultured bacterium. RNAcentral describes it as "partial 16S ribosomal RNA". It matches the Rfam family "Bacterial small subunit ribosomal RNA", at positions 899 to 1397 of the family's 1533-position model. The record is from RNAcentral.